GAGGCGCGGCAUCGCAUCAACUCAGGGACCUCGGCUACGGUCAAGCUCCAGCGCAACGGAGCCGAUAUUACUGGAUGGACAGGCAUCUCCGUGACGACUACCAGCACGGGCACGACGGGAACUGCGACGGCCUUGGCUGACAACGAUCUGCUUGCUUUGGUGGUUACAGCGGUGUCUGGUACUCCAAAGAAUCUGUCCUUUACUCUGGUGCUUGAGCAUACGAUCUCGUGAUUACUGCCUACGAGAAUCAGAAGUUCGAGGCGGUCAUUGCGAACGCACCUACGGGUCGGGCGGGGCUGCUGGGUAUCCAGUUGCUCGAUCCUCCUAACACGGUAGUCAUCCCGCGCACCACGGUGCCCAUCAUCGAAUCGACGGUCAGUCCCGGCACCUAUACCGCCGAGCUCGAUGCUCCAGAUCUGGGACCGACUGAACUCGAUCACUUCUACCUGAUC
This 452-nucleotide unclassified non-coding RNA is filed under the name plant metagenome. RNAcentral describes it as "partial contains 5.8S ribosomal RNA, internal transcribed spacer 2, and large subunit ribosomal RNA". The record is from RNAcentral.